Molecule: ribosomal RNA, 430 nt
Filed under: Bacillus subtilis
Lineage: Bacteria; Bacillati; Bacillota; Bacilli; Caryophanales; Bacillaceae
Description: bacterial SSU rRNA
Rfam family: Bacterial small subunit ribosomal RNA
Source: RNAcentral
UGGGACUUGCUCCUGNNUUACGGCGGANGGGUGAGUACACGUGGGUACCUGCCUGUAAGACUGGGAUAACUCCGGGAAACCGGGGCUAAUACCGGAUGGUUGUUUGAACCGCAUGGUUCAAACAUAAAAGGUGGCUUCGGCUACCACUUACAGAUGGACCCGCGGCGCAUUAGCUAGUUGGUGAGGUAANGGCUCACCAAGGCAACGAUGCGUAGCCGACCUGAGAGGGUGAUCGGCCACACUGGGACUGAGACACGGCCCAGACUCCUACGGGAGGCAGCAGUAGGGAAUCUUCCGCAAUGGACGAAAGUCUGACGGAGCAACGCCGCGUGAGUGAUGAAGGUUUUCGGAUCGUAAAGCUCUGUUGUUAGGGAAGAACAAGUACCGUUCGAAUAGGGCGGUACCUUGACGGUACCUAACCAGAAAGCCA